RNAcentral lists this long non-coding RNA (604 nucleotides) under Heterocephalus glaber (naked mole-rat). RNAcentral describes it as "lncRNA (ENSHGLG00000048456.1)". The record is from RNAcentral. Lineage: Eukaryota; Metazoa; Chordata; Mammalia; Rodentia; Bathyergidae.
GGCCUGAAGAGAUAUAAGGAGGGGGAUAUCCGGAGUCGCCCCACAAUGCUCCCCCCGCGGGCUCCUCCGACCCGGAGCCCUCUUGGGGCGGAUCUGGGGGCGGAGGCGGGCCACGAUAGGCUUGAAGGGAGGGAUAUAGGGGCGGAAACUUCCGCGAGGGUGGGGCUGUCCUAGAGGCGGUGGCGGAAAGCAAGGAAGCAGGGGUUCGGCGAGGCCCUGCCCUACAGGGCUUGGCAGGGGCCCCUGAGCAGCGUCCUUCACUGGAUCCCCGUUCUCUGGCCGCACGUUGGGCGCCACUUGUCCCGGCCCGCGGGAUCUUCUCCAUCCACCUAAAUCCUCAGAGCCCUGCAGUGACCUCCCCACUGGGCCAGGUGAUGUGGUGAAAGAGUGCAUGUAGAGAAAGCACCACUGUGAUCUACAGCUUCAGCCCAGAAGCCACAUGCAUCACCGACAUCUACUGGUAAGAAGUCAUCUGGCCAUGCCUGGCUGACAGCAAUAAGUCUGCAAAAUAGAUAACAUGGAUUCUGCUGAACACUGUGAAUACUAUGCAUAUAAAUGGCUUUUUGAGUUGAGUGGAAGCAAACAGACAAAGUCAAGCUCUGGG